UGCGUUGUUGGGUAGGGGAGCGUUCUGUAAGCCUGCGAAGGUGUGCUGUGAGGCAUGCUGGAGGUAUCAGAAGUGCGAAUGCUGACAUAAGUAACGAUAAAGCGGGUGAAAAGCCCGCUCGCCGGAAGACCAAGGGUUCCUGUCCAACGUUAAUCGGGGCAGGGUGAGUCGACCCCUAAGGCGAGGCCGAAAGGCGUAGUCGAUGGGAAACAGGUUAAUAUUCCUGUACUUGGUGUUACUGCGAAGGGGGGACGGAGAAGGCUAUGUUGGCCGGGCGACGGUUGUCCCGGUUUAAGCGUGUAGGCUGGUUUUCCAGGCAAAUCCGGAAAAUCAAGGCUGAGGCGUGAUGACGAGGCACUACGGUGCUGAAGCAACAAAUGCCCUGCUUCCAGGAAAAGCCUCUAAGCAUCAGGUAACAUCAAAUCGUACCCCAAACCGACACAGGUGGUCAGGUAGAGAAUACCAAGGCGCUUGAGAGAACUCGGGUGAAGGAACUAGGCAAAAUGGUGCCGUAACUUCGGGAGAAGGCACGCUGAUAUGUAGGUGAAGUCCCUUGCGGAUGGAGCUGAAAUCAGUCGAAGAUACCAGCUGGCUGCAACUGUUUAUUAAAAACACAGCACUGUGCAAACACGAAAGUGGACGUAUACGGUGUGACGCCUGCCCGGUGCCGGAAGGUUAAUUGAUGGGGUCAGCGCAAGCGAAGCUCUUGAUCGAAGCCCCGGUAAACGGCGGCCGUAACUAUAACGGUCCUAAGGUAGCGAAAUUCCUUGUCGGGUAAGUUCCGACCUGCACGAAUGGCGUAAUGAUGGCCAGGCUGUCUCCACCCGAGACUCAGUGAAAUUGAACUCGCUGUGAAGAUGCAGUGUACCCGCGGCAAGACGGAAAGACCCCGUGAACCUUUACUAUAGCUUGACACUGAACAUUGAGCCUUGAUGUGUAGGAUAGGUGGGAGGCUUUGAAGUGUGGACGCCAGUCUGCAUGGAGCCGGCCUUGAAAUACCACCCUUUAAUGUUUGAUGUUCUAACGUGGACCCGUGAUCCGGGUUGCGGACAGUGUCUGGUGGGUAGUUUGACUGGGGCGGUCUCCUCCUAAAGAGUAACGGAGGAGCACGAAGGUUGGCUAAUCCUGGUCGGACAUCAGGAGGUUAGUGCAAUGGCAUAAGCCAGCUUGACUGCGAGCGUGACGGCGCGAGCAGGUGCGAAAGCAGGUCAUAGUGAUCCGGUGGUUCUGAAUGGAAGGGCCAUCGCUCAACGGAUAAAAGGUACUCCGGGGAUAACAGGCUGAUACCGCCCAAGAGUUCAUAUCGACGGCGGUGUUUGGCACCUCGAUGUCGGCUCAUCACAUCCUGGGGCUGAAGUAGGUCCCAAGGGUAUGGCUGUUCGCCAUUUAAAGUGGUACGCGAGCUGGGUUUAGAACGUCGUGAGACAGUUCGGUCCCUAUCUGCCGUGGGCGCUGGAGAACUGAGGGGGGCUGCUCCUAGUACGAGAGGACCGGAGUGGACGCAUCACUGGUGUUCGGGUUGUCAUGCCAAUGGCACUGCCCGGUAGCUAAAUGCGGAAGAGAUAAGUGCUGAAAGCAUCUAAGCACGAAACUUGCCCCGAGAUGAGUUCUCCCUGACCCUUUAAGGGUCCUGAAGGAACGUUGAAGACGACGACGUUGAUAGGCCGGGUGUGUAAGCGCAGCGAUGCGUUGAGCUAACCGGUACUAAUGAACCGUGAGGCUUAACCUUACAACGCCGAAG
RNAcentral lists this ribosomal RNA (1741 nucleotides) under Shigella sonnei. RNAcentral's name for it is "partial 23S ribosomal RNA". It matches the Rfam family "Bacterial large subunit ribosomal RNA", at positions 1217 to 2925 of the family's 2925-position model. Lineage: Bacteria; Pseudomonadati; Pseudomonadota; Gammaproteobacteria; Enterobacterales; Enterobacteriaceae. The record is from RNAcentral.